UCUGGUGUCAGCCGCCGCGGUAAUACCAGCUCUCCGAGUGGUGUGGAUGUUUAUUGGGCCUAAAGCAUCCGUAGCUGGCCAAGUUAGUCCCCUGUUAAAUCCACCGAAUUAAUCGUUGGAGUGCGGGGGAUACUGCUCGGCUAGGGGACGAGAGAGGCCGACGGUAUUUUCGGGGUAGGGGUGAAAUCCUAUAAUCCCGGGAAGACCACCAGUGGCGAAGGCUGUCGGCUAGAACGCGCUCGACGGUGAGGGACGAAAGCUGGGGGAGCGAACCGGAUUAGAUACCCGGGUAGUCCCAGCUGUAAACGAUGCGGGCUAGGUGUUGGGGUGGCUACGAGCCACUUCAGUGCCGCAGGAAAGCCAUUAA
Molecule: ribosomal RNA, 367 nt
Filed under: uncultured archaeon
Lineage: Archaea
Description: bacterial SSU rRNA
Rfam family: Archaeal small subunit ribosomal RNA
Source: RNAcentral